AUCAAAUUUUGUUACAUUAGUAUAUUUUAUGUGAGGAAACUUAAUAUCAUCACAAAAAAAUAAAAAAUGGGGUCAUUUUUAUAAUUAUCUCAAAAUAAAGUCCUCAUAAGCAAAAGUUAAAACUAAACCUCUUCCCAAAAUUCCCUCAUUCUUCGCAGCGUGACUUCAAAAAACGAAAGCAAUUAUCUUUCAAUCUCUCUGAAUCUCUUUUCAAUCCUCUCUCAAUUUAAAAACAUAUUGUCGAUUGAUUUGUCUGGUUCAGAUUCUUCAUGGAAGAGUAUCAACCAACUUUUUUAGUGAUAUAUCACUCUCGAUUUCCGAAUCGGAGGCUCUUCUUCUUUAUGGUAAUUUGGGGCGCUUUGAGUGUGGAAAUUGCUGUUUGUUAAGUUUUUUUUUGGUGGCUUUUGUUAGAAUUGGUACGGUUUUGGUUUGGCUGAGCUGCUGGAAUCUGGGGAAAGCCAUAUAACAACAAGGGUGAUGAGAACUUUUGGUUACGUGGCUCCUGAAUAUGCAAAUACUGACUUGCUGAAUGAAAAAAGCGACAUAUACAGUUUUGGUGUUCUACUUCUUGAAGCUGUCACCGGAAGAGAUCCAGUAGAUUACACACGUCCAGCCAAUGAGGUUAAUCUUGUCGAGUGGCUUAAAAUGAUGGUAGGGAACAGUAGAGCAGAGGAAGUUGUGGGCUCUAGCCUUGAAGUCAGGCCUACUACCCGUGCCCUCAACAUCUCUUACAGUUCUGGAAAAUUGUGAAAAAUUUGAGCCCAACUCCAAGUGCUGAAUGUCCAAGACGAUCACAAAUUUGAGAGUAGUACUGGUUUAUUGGAUACUCAUGUUUCUACUCCUCAAGAUCAAGGACUAUCUGGUAGAAACUUCUUCCCCUUCUCACACAUACUACCCUGUAAAUAACAGUGACACUGCAGUGUCCUUUGAAGCUUUUUUGGUGAGAGAUUGAACUUCAGAUGAUGUCGAAAAUGGUUUGUCUCAACCUCAAAACAGAGCAGCAUUUAGAAUGAGUGCUCUGUAGAUAAGUUCCCUUCCUUGAUGCCCAAAUCAAGCACCGGACCCGGUAUACAAGAAAACUCUAGCAGCUUGCUGGAUGUUUUUGCUAAUCUAAGUUCCGGAAGAACUACUACCAAUUUUGUAUCAUUCGGGCUAUCAAGUUCUGGAAAUAUGACUUCUGGACUCAGUUCAUCAACCAGUAAUCCAUCUGCGAAUAAUUCACAAGGUUCUCUAUUCGGUGGUGCCAGUAAAUCUUUUGUGCCUGCUGUUGGAGCAGACACAGACUGCAUUCUCUCCACUUUCACCUAGAAAGCAACACGUGCGAGACACAGAAUUGGGAAGCUCCUACUGUCUGGGUUAUGUUUAUAGUGUAUGAAAAUGUGCUAAAUAUGUUUAAACUGCAUCGAUUAUGAUUAGAGUUUCAUUGUUUUGAACUCAUGUGAUCUUUAUUAACAUGCAUUUCGGUGUAGGUGAUUACAUUUGUAUUCUACGUUUUUUUUAGCUCUUAAAUUUUAUUGUUUAUUUUAGUUUUUUGAGAA
Long non-coding RNA from Salvia miltiorrhiza (redroot sage), 1538 nucleotides. RefSeq lists it as uncharacterized. Lineage: Eukaryota; Viridiplantae; Streptophyta; Magnoliopsida; Lamiales; Lamiaceae. The transcript is spliced from 8 exons. The record is from RefSeq and is a predicted model, not a curated record.